CGCUUGAAGUUGGCGCCCGGGAGCGAUGCGGAGCUGAGGAGACACAGGCCGCCGCCAUGUCUGCGGGAUUCUCCUUCGGGGCCGGCACGCUGGGCUCCGCUGCUGGGGCGGGAGGCGGCGGCGGGGGAGGCUUCUCCUUCGGAGCUGUCCAGCCGAGCUCAACCGGAGGUCUUAAUUUUGGAACCUUGGGCUCCUCGACUGCUACAGCAACUACAUCAGCUCCAUCAGUGGGCUUUGGAAGUGGACUGUUUGGUUCAAAAUCUACCACUGGGCUUGCUCUAGGAGGUACUAAUACAGGAACAGCUACAACUAUUGCUACAGGAUUAACACUGGGAGCUCCUGCCGCUACAUCAGCCUCUACCACAGGUUUUAGUCUAGGGUUCAACAAACCUGCAGGAUCGGCCACACCAUUUGCUUUGCCUAUUACUUCUACCUCAGCAAGUGGCCUCUCACUUUCUUCUGCUCUUACGUCAACUCCUGCAGCAGGUUCUACUGGCUUUACAUUAAAUUUGGGUGGGACAGCUGCCCCAACUACAAGUGCAUCCACAGGCCUUUCACUGGGAGGAGCCUUAGCUGGUUUGGGAGGACUCGGACAGAAUGCUCUGAGUUUGACUCUGGGGACGACUUCUGCUCCUUCAACUACUGUUAAUGAAGGUCUUGGUGGCAUAGAUUUUAGUAGUUCUUCAGAUAAAAAGAGUGAUAAAACAGGAACAAGACCAGAAGAUAGUAAAGCACUGAAGGAUGAAAAUCUACCUCUACUAAUCUGUCAAGAUGUAGAAAAUCUCCAGAAAUUUGUGAAAGAACAAAAACAAGUGCAGGAAGAAAUUAGUAGAAUGUCUUCCAAAGCAAUGCUUAAAGUACAGGAAGAUAUUAAAGCUUUGAAACAGCUUUUGUCAGUGGCUGCUAGUGGACUACAGAGAAACACUCUUAAUAUUGACAAAUUGAAAAUGGAAACUGCCCAGGAACUGAAGAAUGCAGAAAUAGCAUUAAGAACACAGAAAACUCCUCCUGGUCUUCAACAUGAAAAUUCAGCCCCAGCAGACUACUUCAGGAUCUUGGUUGAACAGUUUGAAGUACAGCUGCAGCACUACAGACAGCAAAUUGAAGAACUGGAAAAUCAUCUUGCCACUCAAGCAAACAAUUCACAUAUAACUCCACAAGAUUUGUCUAUGGCUAUGCAGAAAAUUUAUCAAACAUUUGUAGCUCUAGCUGCUCAACUUCAAUCAAUACAUGAAAAUGUAAAGAUGCUCAAAGACCAAUACCUUGGCUACAGGAAAACCUUUCUGGGAGAUGCUAUGGAUGUGUUUGAGGCAAGACGAGCAGAAGCUAAGAAAUGGCAGAGUGCCCCACGUGUUAUUACGGGACCAACCCCUUUCAGCAACAUACCAAAUGCAGCAGCCGUUGCCAUGGCUGCCACACUUUCUCAGCAGCAACAGCCUGCUACAGGGCCACAGCCAUCUCUGGGAGUUAGUUUUGGAACGCCAUUCGGCUCAGGUAUUGGCACUGGCUUGCAAUCAAGUGGCUUAGGUUCUUCAAACCUUGGAGGAUUUGGAAGUAGCUCUGCUUUUGGAAGCACUGCCACAGGCGCACCAUCAUUUGGAUUUGGAACUACUAAACCCUCAGGAAGUCUUAGUGCAGGUGCCUGCUGCUUGAACUACAUUAAGCCAAAAAUAAGUUAUUUACCAAUUUUUCAUAUAUUAAUGAUAAGAAUGUCAAGUUCUUCUUUGAAUGAUUGCACAUGUGCAUUCCACCCUAGGAGUGUACGUGCCCCAAGCACAGUUGCUGGAAAUGUUUCCCUCAGUGGUACCCGUUGGGGUGACUCAAGCAUCCUCUGGUGCUGCACGCUUAUAGUGCUGAUAUGAAGUGCCCAGCCAGCCCCAUGCCCUUUCAGUUCCUUCUUACCACCUGUGAUGGUCACUGGGAUUGCUAUCCUUGCUUUGGCAAAUUCUCUGUGGUCUUCUUUUUCUUAUAUUUAUACAUAGUUCAUAGACUCAUAGAAUUGUAGGACUAGAAAGGGUCUGCAGAGGUCUUCUAGUCCAGUCUACUGCACUCAAGGCAGGACUAAGUAUUAUCUAGACCAUCCCUGACAUCCAUUUUCCCCUUCCUAGAUCCCAGGGACUGGUAUGCUGCACUCGAUUAAAGAGACGCCUUUUUACAUAUAUCGAUAUACCAAUAUGUCAUUAGGUUCCUCAGAUUUGUAAUGAACCCUCCCAUUCAGCCUAUCUGCAGCUACACGGAUGUUUACAAAAUGUCUGGCAGCAGUGAUAGCCUUCCUGAGGAGGUUAGGGGUGCAGGUCUAACCUUAUCUAGACUACUGGCUAGUCAAGGCUGGUCCAGGGCUCCAGAAGUGUCCAGCAUUCAGCUUAUGCAGUCAACAUUCAAGGCCCGAAACCUUCUGAUAAAUGAAGAGCAAUCUAUCCUUGCAUUGGUGCAGAGGUUAGAGUUUAUUGGAGUGGUGUUCGACUCUACUCAGGCCAGAGCCAACCUCCCAGAGGGUUGUUUCCAGACAAUCCCAUCCCUGAUGAUUCACCUCAAUGGUCAUCCAGUCACAACAGCCCAAAAUUGUCUGAGACUUUUAGGUCACAUGGCCUUGUGCACAUAUGUGGUACAACAGGCAAGGCUGCACCUCACACCCCUCCAGACAUGGCAGGCCUCAAUGUACUCACCAAACCACUACCAUCUGGACUUCGUACUCAUAGUACCUCAGUGGGUCCUCAUCUCCCUCAAUUGGUGGUUGGAUCUGUUCAUUGUUUGUUUGUACAGGUGUUCCCUUUAUACGACCUUUCGUCUCCGGAGGAAUUUUCAUUCCACAUCAGUACCAGGGAACUCAGAGCAGUUUACCUGGCCUGUCAGACUUUCCUGCCACACGUUAUGGGCAGAAAUUUGUUUGUUCUUAUGGCCGCACCACAGCCAUGUUUUAUCUCAACAGGCAAGGAGGAGCUGGCUCUUCCCUCCUAUGUCAGGAAGCGAUUCAGCUAUGGGAAUUUUGCGCAGGCCACUCAAUCAGUCUUGUGGCCUCAUACCUUCUGGGAACGCAAAAAGACCUGACACAUCACCUCAGCAGGACUUUAUCCAGUCACCACGACUGGUCCUUUUGCCAAGAUGUGGCGAGGGACAUUUUCCAGCAGUGGAGGACUCCUCAGAUAGAUCUGUUUGCAACCUGAUACAACAGAAAGUGUCACUAGUUCUGCUCCCAGUGAGGUCACAGUCCAAGUUUUAUCAUGGAUGCCUUUUUGAUAUCAUGGACAGGACAUCUUUAUUAUGCUUUUCCCUCUAUCCUGCUCAUGCACAGCGUACUGCUAAAGAUGACCCAGGACCAGGUCCGAGUUCUUCUGAUAGCCCCAUCAACACUGAUUCUCCACUCUGCUAGGCCUGUCAGUGAUGACCCAUCCUGCUUCCGUUACACCUGGACCUGAUCUCUAAGGACAGCAAUCGGCUGCUCCCUUCACCUAACAGCCUGAAAGCUCCAUGGCUAAAUCCCAGAGAGCAGACCUGCCCACAGCAAGUUCAUCAGGUCCUAUUAGGUAGUAGAAAGAGCUCCACCAGGGAUACUUACUUUUCAAAGUGGAAGUGGUCCUCUAUCUGGGCAUCCCAAUGCAGGGAUUCACCCACACAGUCAUCCUUACAAGAAAUUCUUGGUUAUCUAUUAUACCUGAAGCAGCAAGACUUAGCUAUUUCCUCUGUCAAGAUUCACCUUGCAGCAAAAUCGGCUUUCUACUAUUGGGUAGAUAACCGGUCAGUGUUUUCAAAUGACAUGUCUGUUUGAUUCCUCAAGGGCCUAGAAAGGUUAUACCCUCAAGUAAGAGAGCUUGUUCUUCCCUGGGACCUGAACUUGAUCUAUCAAAGCUUAUGGGACCACAGUUUGAAUCUUGGGCAACUUGCUGUUUGUUAUACGUCUCCUGGAAGGUGGUUUUCUUAGUGGCCAUCACUUCGGCCAGAAGGGUCUCGGAUCUCCAUGUUCUCACAUCAGAACCUCUGUACACAGUCUCCUUUAAGGAUAAGGUGCAUUUAUGUCCUCAUCCAGUUUCCUCCCAAAAGUGGUUUAGCAAUUUCAUAGCAAUCAGGCAAUCUACCUACCCUACCUGUCUUCUACCCAAAGCCACAUGUAAAUAGGGAGGAACCACAUCUUCACUCAUUGGAUGUUAGAUGCUCUAUGUUGCUUUCUACAUAGAAAGGACUAAACUGUUCCAGUAAUUUACCCAACUGUUUGUAGCUGUAUCUAAUAUGAUGAAAAGUCUCCGAGUCUCAUCACAGACAGUUUCAUCCUGGAUUACCUCAUACAUUCAUACUUGUUAUGACCAGGCAGGUGUUCUCCCACUAGCUUACCUGACUGCUCAUUCCACAUGGUUGCAAGCAUCAGCAACAGCAUUCCAGUCACAGAUCCCUACUCAGGAUAUUUGCAAAGUAGUGACCUGGUCAUCGGUGCACACAUUCUCCUCCCAUUAUACCAUCACUCAAGAGUCCAGGGAUGAUGCCAAAUUUGGUGGAGCUGUCCUGCAGUUAGUAUGUCCAUGAAUUCUGAUCCCUCCACCAUUCAACUGCUUUGGAGUCACCUAGAGUGGAAUGCACAUGUGCAAUCACUCAAAGAAGAAAAAACAGUUAUUAACUUUCUAUAACUGUUGUUCUUCAACAUACAUUGUACAUGUCCAUUCCACGACCCACCCUCCUGCCCUUCUGCAUUGGAGUUUUCCAGAAAGAACAAACUGAGAGGGUGCAGAGUUGGCUGGGCACUUUAUAAUGGCGCUAUAGGUACAUGGCACCAGAGGCAUUCGAGCUGCCGAGGUGGGUACCACUGAGGGAAAACUUCCAGUGAGUGUCCUCGGGGCAUGCACACACAUGGAAUGGGCAUGUGCAACACAUCUCACAAAAGCAACAGUUAACAGAAGGCUUUGGCAGCUCAACUACAUCUGGGUUUAACUUCAGUAAUCCUGGCAUCACAGCAUCGGCUGGCUUGACAUUUGG
Gopherus flavomarginatus (Mexican gopher tortoise) is the source of this 4962-nucleotide RNA transcript. It is a transcript of the gene named nucleoporin 58, with no coding region annotated. The transcript has 17 exons. NCBI's taxonomy places the organism in Eukaryota, Metazoa, Chordata, Testudines, Testudinidae. The record is from RefSeq and is a predicted model, not a curated record.